Molecule: non-coding RNA, 31 nt
Filed under: Homo sapiens (human)
Lineage: Eukaryota; Metazoa; Chordata; Mammalia; Primates; Hominidae
Source: RNAcentral
UCUGAGACCACUUUCAAGCAUGUUUUAUGUA